This 2051-nucleotide long non-coding RNA is filed under the name Accipiter nisus (Eurasian sparrowhawk). RNAcentral describes it as "lncRNA (ENSANIG00000005768.1)". The record is from RNAcentral. Lineage: Eukaryota; Metazoa; Chordata; Aves; Accipitriformes; Accipitridae.
UUCACUUCUGCUUUACACUGUUAAGAAGUUUACCAUAAUGAGCAACUCAGAACAGUUUACUUUCUGAAAAACAAGUGACUCCUAGUAAUGCUCAAGUGUGGUUUGUAACAUUCCAAAGAACAACAAAUACUGAAAUACACUAUUUUUUCCCUAACUUCAAAAUAAUAGAAUAUGAAUCUGACAUUGAGAAAUACUGAUUUGAAAUAUGUAUGAAACAGAUUUCUGAUGAAGAGGGAAUUUGAGAAGUACUUCUUUAAGAAUUCUGGUGAGAUACACAAACCACCUUCUGUAAGCUCUCUGAACAUAACUAGCAUGCUGCUCAGUUUAUUCAAAAAGGACUGUAAAUUCUGGAAGUUUUAACUUGAUAUGUUUGCAGGUAACAUGAUUGAUGUGUAACUCUAGAAUGAAAGGAGUAUUUAGAGUCUUGGCUAUCAGUUCACCAGUUCUUAUUCCUUAAACAAAGACAGGUCAGAUAUUAGUCUUGUCCUCUGUGUCACAGUUUCUGACUUCAUCCUAUGAAUACAGACACAUACAAACUCAGAAAAUAUUCUAACACUUGAAUGCCUAUCGAUCACUAAAUCAGAAAAAACAUAAUAGUGGAGGGGGGCUAGCUUAUCUAUCAUAAGAUUUUUAUUUUUUUUUUUCAUAACUUCUCAGAGGUAUAUCAUAUUAUAAAUGCAUUAGAAAUGUUUUGCUCUGAGGAUAUGUAGCAUUCCUAUAAAGGUUAAAUCAAUAAAAAUGAUUUGGCCACAUUCCUAAGCAUGGCUAGAACAGGUAGCCCGUUGUUUAAGGUACCCUUGAAUUUCUGGAUCAGAUUAUUAUGGUGCAGCAAAAAGGCUUACUAAAGGCUUCUUACUGUCUGCAGACGUUCUGUGUUUCUAUGUGAAGAUAUCGUCAGCCUAAAAAAACCUUCAGAUUUUCUGGGCUACUGAAAAAAAAGUAUUUUUAUGUAUAUAGGUCUCAAAUGUUGUGCUGUGUGUGCUGUAAGUUUUAAAGGAAGUUUUGCAACAAGAAGGGGUGAAGACACAUCAGUAAUUGAUAACAACCAGAAGAAAUAUAUUGCACUGUGUCAAAACCAGCAGCUGACCUACAAAUAAGACUACUUUGGCUAAAAUGCAUGCUUUCACUUUGAAAGUUGAGGUGAGUUAAGAUUGGUCAGUCUAAUGUCCAGAAAGGCAGUUUCUCUCUUCGUGGGACUAUGGGAAGAACAAGAAGAUACGAAGAGACUUAGUCCCAAACAUCUAUUUCCUCAAUUAUUGCCAAGUAUUCUAAAAUAAGUACUUCCACCAUCUGUUAUUUGAAUACUAGCACUAACGCUUACAAUUUAUGUAGAACACUAUAAUAGUGUUAAUAGACAUUCUUUUUUACAAAUAUUAAGACAAGACCCUUGCUGCAAGUUCCUACAUUGCAUAUUAGCAAAGUAGAGAUAUGUGAAGAGUUGUAAAUGUUCUUUGGGUAUUUGUAUUGCUGGCAAAUCUGAAUGUGAUAGCACAUUCUCUUUUACAACUUCAGUAUUAGGGUAGAAAAUGUUGUACCAAUAGAGAUGUUAUCUGAAUUUACACUAUUACUGGUUUUUGCUUGUUUUUUUUUUUGUUUAUUUCUUUUUACCUGAGGAAUUUCAAAAUUUUGGAAGUAUGGAUUAGUAGGAAUUAGAGGUUUGAACUGUACACACGUGCAUGUUUGCACAUACACAGCUCAUUAACAUUUCUUAAAGAAUACCCUGUUCUAUUACCACACAUGGAUAUGUUAAAAUAUCAUGCUUUUUUAACUCUGUCUUUUCUGAUUUGUAUUUAAAUGAAUUACAGAUGUUUUGGGGGAUUAACACUAUCUGGAAGUGAAUGUACUUAGGCAUAAUUAUUUGUCUAUAUUGUUGUUCCUUAAAAACCCCCAAACCAAACAACCCUCUCUUUUGCUUAUGUGUAUAGGGUCAUAUAUAUUAAAUGUGUUUGAAGUAAUUCAAUUCUGUAAUUAAUAAGGACUUGUAACGUCACCCCGCUCCGAUUUGCUAUAUCAGACCUGCUUUCAGAAGAACUGCACCCAGCAUGUGGUCA